CCCAGAACUUGCAUAUACUCAGUUAGUCUAAAGAACUUACCAUAUACACACGGACAUUGACUAGUUUUUUCUUUCCCCCACUCCAAACCCACAUUAAAGUUUAAUGUGUUUGCAAUAAUCAUCCAGUAACUAAUCGCAAACACAUUAAAGUUUCCUGACUCUGCAAACAUCAGUAACUAAUCUCAGCUCAACGUUCUAGUGAUGAUCCUAUUUCCUUUCGUUUCUGUGGAACAUGGCAGAUGAGUUCUCAAGUAAGUGAUACCGCACAUCUACACUGGCUAGGUCCAAAUAAGGCGUUUUUUUUUCAUGACAUCUACUCCACAAGGACCAAAAGGAAGAAAAACAGUGCCGCGUGAGGGUGACCGGCGGAGCCGCGGAGGCACCGGCGCAACGGCGAGGGGAGGGGAGUGCACGGCGCGAGUGCAGAAGCGGAGGCACGGGAAGCGAACUUCAGUGGCCCCGCACGGACGAUGGCUCCGAUGGCGGCUUCUCAUCUCCCCGGAUGAGGCUGGGUCUCGAGCCACCCGCAGUCCGCAGAACGGAAGAAGCCCAUUAGAUGCUCGACGAAAUGGCUGCCCCGCAGGAGCCUGGAGGCACAGGAGGAUUGCUUGAUAAGAAGGCAAGGAACUGCCUCCUGUAAUUAAGAAGCAACCAAAAGAUUUCAAUUGUGGACGACAUAACCCCACAUUCAUGGAACUAUUAUUAAGGAUGAUCGUAGGAGAAAACAUUGCUGAGAAUUUGUUUAGCAAACUAUUGAUGUCAUAUGAUUUGUUUUAGAAGUGAUAUGUAAUGAUUCAGUUGAUGAGAAUAAUUCCUAAUGAAGAAAUAUGCUACUGAGGCCGAACAAACUCCACCUUUCGGCCGCAGUACGCAGAUCCAACUUGUCAUAUCAUCAACCAUUUGUCAAGGAGCUCCAUUUGCUUCCAUUUGAUCAAAGAAUACUUUCCCAUCUCUAGUUGUUUAUUUAAGUAAUGCUAUCGCAAAUCUGGACAGAUGUGUUCCGGUAUUGUGAAUUUGAUUUGAGCAAACCUUACUGAACUUAUACUUUAAUAAAUGAUGCAUCCACUCUUCCGUCACCUUAGCAUCACAGAGGAUACAUUGCACUGAUUCUACAUUGAAAGUUUCCUGAAUAACACACCUCUGGUAUUGAUUUCUAUCUUGUAUUUGUGCCCAUUAUAUACUCUUUCCAGACUGGCAAUAUAUGCCAGAUAAAGUCAAAUAGGCCAAUUAUGUUAUAAUUACUUCUGCGAAAUGAAAGAACUGGAACCCACGUGGAUCGUUUCCAAGAAAUUGUGAUACUUAACACCUGCUUAUAAAAAGCAGUUUUGGCGCAGAAAACAUUGUAACAUGUUUUCUGCAUAACCAUUAAUUUUUUGAGAUGGGAAACAGAGCAAUGUAUGGAAAGAAAAGGAAAAAAAAAUCACAUUAUAUUACACGGGAAGGCAACACAAUGCAUCUGAUGAGCUGAUGAUAGUGUUUUGUGUUUCACCCAUUACAACAUUUCAUACUCUACCUUAACUGACAGUGAACACCAGUCAGGCAGUCACCACUUUAUUCCACACAAAUGAAAGUAGUUAAACACUAUAUUUUGAACUAUAAUAGCUUGUAAAUAGGCAUUGCCGAGUUUCUGCAGAUCAGAACAAUAUUGGCUCCACGUACAGUAAUGCUACCAUAUCUUUGAUUGUAUGGGAAAAAGUGAAUCCGUCAGUUUUCUUGUACAUGUAUUCCCCAGUCCUUGCAAAAUCAACAACUGUCUGUGCCACAACCUUCAUCUGUUCCGUUGGUGUAAGGUAGAGUUUCACCAUAUCCUUCCAUGAAUCUUCAAUUAGUUCUUUUAUCUUCUCACAUGCAUCGUGCAUUGUUGUUUCGUGCUGCAACAUAUAACAUUGGAUGGUAGAAGCAUGGUGCCCCCUGGUUUGCUCACGCUGCAUUUAGUAGCAAAAUAAAAUAAAUAGAUUGAUUCAAUGUGUAUUGCAAUCAUUUGUUCAUUAGUUUGGUGCUUGUCUACCUAAAGUUGCUUAAGUAUUCACUUAUAUCAUGUGAUAUUUGGUGAUGAAGUUCAAUUCCACAAAAUAAUGUAGAAGUGCUAAGGUGCAUGAAUACACAUAGAGAUUCACAUGUGUGAAGCUAGACAAUGACCUCUGUUGAUGCAAUAUCAUUGGAGAGUCGUGCAAAUGUUGGGAAACAAUUGAGAAGUUCUGGAAAUGCCAGAAGCCAAUCCAGAACUUCCUUUGUUAUGAUGUCACCCAUCCCAACAAAUGAAGAACAUACUAGUUGAAAAGCUCCAAUGGUUACUCCUGAAAUUUUUAGAUGUUCAUUGAUUGUUUCUGGAACAUAAUGUUCAUCACGCCAUUGUAUCUCUUGAGAGUAUCCUCGGACCAAUAUCUUUAUCUGCAUGGAACAUAUAAAUAUGUGAGUUCAUAUCAGAUAGUAAUAGUAGUGUGAACCCAUAAUGAUGUCUUGGAGAAAGGUUUGCAAUGAUCAUGUAGCUUGUUGGGCUUUGCAAUGAUUUUCAGUUCAAGUAGCUUGUUGGGCUUGUGCAUGCCUGGUACCUAUGCUCAGAAUUCUCCACAAAAAACUAGGGAGUCUUUGUAAAGAAAUUUUUCAUCGUAGUAAAUCUGUACAAUAAAUAUGAAGUAAUUAUGGAUAUGUGUUUGGGAAAAUAUGUAACUAUCUUCUGCUGUAGUGAAACUAAAUAUUACUUUGAAACAGUAGAACCAAACAAUAUGAUUGAUAUAAUAUUCUUAUUUUCUUUUCUUUAGUGGUUGACCCUCUAAGAUAAUAAUACAUAUGUACUUCUAGUAAAUCAUGUGUUUGCUAAGUAACUAGAACUAGCUGUCUAGUCAAUACUUGCCAUUUCCUUGAGAUAAAACACCCGAUAUCUUUUGUUUGGUCCCAGUUCAUCCUCACAAGAGUCCAAUGUCUUCAAUAAAAACAGGUAGAAAUCCUUCAUGUAGUCCGGAAGUAGUUCUGUUGCGUCUUCAUUGAAUCUACAUGUACAAUCCAUUGGGAACAUUUGAAGCAGUUCCAUUGCAUCUUUUAUCAUAACAACACAAUCUUCUUUCUUAAAGAAAAGUUGCAAGAGAUAAGAUUAUAAAUCAUCCCAAAUUAUUUGAUAUGGUUUCCUAACUAUACUAAUCGAAAAUAGGCCAUCUAAUGUGAUGCAAUCUCAUGGUAUACAUAGUCCACAGUGGAACUUAUGCUAGCAGCAAUAGAUGCUGUGUGCAGCUGUUGAAAUGUUGCCCAUGGAGCCCUUACCAUGACAGAUGUUAUGCAUAUGCAAAAUGGCAAGUAAACACGAAUUUUACAGUAAAGGUGGAGUAAAAGAUAAAAAUUACACUAUCAAUAUGGACUAUUAGAUUGCCUGGGGGACUUGUAACUGUACCUGUAUAUUGCUUUAGCAAGCAGCAUGGCCUCCUCUGUUGUACUAUAGGUAUCAAUUAUAUCAUCUAAUAUGGUGAUAAAGGCUGUCAUCUUCGUUAGUAUAACUCGUGAAAGAGAAUAUUUGGGCUCAGAGCAUGCUCCUGCCAUCCAGAAAUGCGUUUCAACUAUUCUGUCUCGAAUAAAACUUAAAUUUGUUUCAACAUUAAGCUGCUUCCACCACCUGUAAUGAUAUAGUUGUAAAUAUGUGUUGUGUAAUUGACUUAGCUAGUGAAUACAACUUCAAAGUUCUGUACAAACUUACAGUGUGACCAUUUUCAACUCACAAUAAAGAAGUUGAAGGAGGUUGAAGUUCAAUUUUGCAAACUCUAAUAUGGCCAUAUUCUGUGAAGGCUCCAUUUCGUAAAUGGGGAUAUAGUUUCUUGUUUCCAGUAUUCUAACCCUUCGGAACAGAGGUGUUUGAAGGGACUGAGACUUCAUCUGCUAAUGUGGAAUCCAAAGAGUCUAAUACAGCUUCAAGGUGGCUUCUAGUGAAUAUAAUGGCUUCAUCCAGUACUUUCUCGCCAUGAGUCCUCAGGUAUGCUGCAUUAUAUAAGCUCAAAAGACCUCGAAUAUCAUCAAAAGCAAAACGUCCUUCCAUACCUUUGAAAUUUAGAAAUACAUCUGCAAAGUUGAUCGAAUCAACCAUAUUUAUGAUUAGAACCAAAAGUAUAUGCAUGAGUUACAACAUAUCAAUUAUUUUAUCAGAUAGGCUUGCAUUUGACCAUGUUCAACUUAAAAUCAAUAAUUUUGGGUCCCUUUAUGUUAUAUAUUCCGGAAUCAGUGCAUACUAUCUAGCUAACCAUAUCAACUACUUAUGUGUUUGUACACAUGUAUAGUCAUGGAGAUCUACAUGUUGUGAACCAUGAAAAAGGAAUUGAAGUCAUCAGACUAAGUUAACAGCUUCCCUUUUAUACCUUUUAAUGUGGUUUACUUUGAAUUAUACUGUUGUUCUUUCAAAUAUUUUUUGAACUAACAGCAAGGCCUUACCAGAUGGUACAUCAUAGCCAUUCUUUCUUAGAAGAUAAAAUCGCAGUGAGACUAAAUUCAGAUCAUUAACAUCAUAACCAGAAUUGUAAACAAAUCUCAAGUGCCGCUGUAGUGUGAGUAUAAGAUCCAAUAUUUUUGGUAGUUCAUUUGUGCCGUUUAUAAUUUUCCUGACUUCUUCCUUUAACACCUUAGCUCGCUCUUUCAUGUAUGCAUGCUGCAAGAGACAAGCAUCAGUCUAGGUUGUCAGCGCAUUUAAAAACAUGCUCCAUAUCUUCAGUGUGAUGCCAUCGUUACCUGAGGUGCAGUUGGCGGCUGGUAAGUCAGGAAGAAAUCACCCCACAGGCUCGGGUGAAAGGUAGGAGCCUUUGCCAGCCCCUCAUCACUGUUGGAAUGAAGUGCAGACAUCUUUUCGGUAUUUAUAGCGGAUUAGCGGCAUGCAUGAGUGUGACUGGUAGGUCGUCGAGUGUUCUGCCUUUGACAGGGUGCCGUGUCUGGAACAGAGGCAUAAGAGGAUCACAUUUGUUAAAGUAAACGAAAUCCAGUUAGUUACUUUGUUAUAUAUAAUAUAUGUAAGUUCCUAUCGACCUCUUGUA
Molecule: long non-coding RNA, 5003 nt
Organism: Panicum virgatum (switchgrass)
Lineage: Eukaryota; Viridiplantae; Streptophyta; Magnoliopsida; Poales; Poaceae
Exons: 3
Source: RefSeq, a predicted model, not a curated record